GGCGGCGUGCUUAACACAUGCAAGUCGAACGGAAAGGUCUCUUCGGAGAUACUCGAGUGGCGAACGGGUGAGUAACACGUGGGUAAUCUGCCCUGCACUUCGGGAUAAGCCUGGGAAACUGGGUCUAAUACCGGAUAGGACCUCAAGGCGCAUGCCUUUGUGGUGGAAAGCUUUUGCGGUGUGGGAUGGGCCCGCGGCCUAUCAGCUUGUUGGUGGGGUGACGGCCUACCAAGGCGACGACGGGUAGCCGGCCUGAGAGGGUGUCCGGCCACACUGGGACUGAGAUACGGCCCAGACUCCUACGGGAGGCAGCAGUGGGGAAUAUUGCACAAUGGGCGCAAGCCUGAUGCAGCGACGCCGCGUGGGGGAUGACGGCCUUCGGGUUGUAAACCUCUUUCACCAUCGACGAAGGUUCGGGUUUUCUCGGAUUGACGGUAGGUGGAGAAGAAGCACCGGCCAACUACGUGCCAGCAGCCGCGGUAAUACGUAGGGUGCGAGCGUUGUCCGGAAUUACUGGGCGUAAAGAGCUCGUAGGUGGUUUGUCGCGUUGUUCGUGAAAUCUCACGGCUUAACUGUGAGCGUGCGGGCGAUACGGGCAGACUGGAGUACUGCAGGGGAGACUGGAAUUCCUGGUGUAGCGGUGGAAUGCGCAGAUAUCAGGAGGAACACCGGUGGCGAAGGCGGGUCUCUGGGCAGUAACUGACGCUGAGGAGCGAAAGCGUGGGGAGCGAACAGGAUUAGAUACCCUGGUAGUCCACGCCGUAAACGGUGGGUACUAGGUGUGGGUUUCCUUCCUUGGGAUCCGUGCCGUAGCUAACGCAUUAAGUACCCCGCCUGGGGAGUACGGCCGCAAGGCUAAAACUCAAAGGAAUUGACGGGGGCCCGCACAAGCGGCGGAGCAUGUGGAUUAAUUCGAUGCAACGCGAAGAACCUUACCUGGGUUUGACAUGCACAGGACGCGUCUAGAGAUAGGCGUUCCCUUGUGGCCUGUGUGCAGGUGGUGCAUGGCUGUCGUCAGCUCGUGUCGUGAGAUGUUGGGUUAAGUCCCGCAACGAGCGCAACCCUUAUCUUAUGUUGCCAGCGGGUAAUGCCGGGGACUCGUGAGAGACUGCCGGGGUCAACUCGGAGGAAGGUGGGGAUGACGUCAAGUCAUCAUGCCCCUUAUGUCCAGGGCUUCACACAUGCUACAAUGGCCGGUACAAAGGGCUGCGAUGCCGCAAGGUUAAGCGAAUCCUUUUAAAGCCGGUCUCAGUUCGGAUCGGGGUCUGCAACUCGACCCCGUGAAGUCGGAGUCGCUAGUAAUCGCAGAUCAGCAACGCUGCGGUGAAUACGUUCCCGGGCCUUGUACACACCGCCCGUCACGUCAUGAAAGUCGGUAACACCCGAAGCCAGUGGCCUAACCCUUGGGAGGGAGCUGUCGAAGGUGGGAU
RNAcentral lists this ribosomal RNA (1430 nucleotides) under Mycobacterium haemophilum. RNAcentral describes it as "16S ribosomal RNA". It matches the Rfam family "Bacterial small subunit ribosomal RNA". Lineage: Bacteria; Bacillati; Actinomycetota; Actinomycetes; Mycobacteriales; Mycobacteriaceae. The record is from RNAcentral.